ACCUUGGUACCCAAAGUUUCCCCCUUUUUAAUGUAACUUAGUUCCAUUUAAUUUUGUGCCAGAUCAACAAAAAAUCCUCCAGUAUGUUUAUCCCUGAAAAGAAAAUGAAACAGAACACACACACGCUGCUUGUAUAAUAGAAAACAGUUGACCUGUGUUAAAUGACUCAAUGUUUUUAAGUCUGUUUUUACAUCUGUUACGCUUCCGCCGGUGGAUGGCGCUGCGGCGUCGAAGCGCAAAGACUGCUGCAGAGCGCGCGUGCACGAGACCCUGACAUAUGGACACGCGCGGCUCGUUUGUUUUGAUUUACUUCCUGUCCAGUGGAGUGAUGAGAAGAAAUCCUCAGAAACUGCUACAGUGUCCUCCCAGGAAUCCAUGGCUAAUCAUAGGCUGAAGUGUUUCAGAGACAUUCUGGACAUUUUUUCUGUUUCUGAAAGCAGGACCUCGCACUCGCCGCGCAGUACUGGCCAUUAUCUUCUAUGGAAAGUAGCUAAGGUUUGUCCAAAAAGUCGCUCGAUAUGUCGCUAGAUGAUUUAAAAAAAAAAAAAAAAAAAAGUUGCUAAAGGGGUCUGAUAAGUGGACCGAAUCUGUCCCUGUUAAAAUGAAUGAGUGAACGGCAGGAGGAGGAGGGGCUGCAGCGGGGAGUCUUAUUUUGAGUGAAAGGAUUGUAUUCGUGUUCUUUUGAAAAUAAACCCUUUAAAGUGA
Molecule: long non-coding RNA, 705 nt
Organism: Ictalurus punctatus (channel catfish)
Lineage: Eukaryota; Metazoa; Chordata; Actinopteri; Siluriformes; Ictaluridae
Exons: 2
Source: RefSeq, a predicted model, not a curated record